RNAcentral lists this ribosomal RNA (433 nucleotides) under uncultured bacterium. RNAcentral describes it as "partial 16S ribosomal RNA". It matches the Rfam family "Bacterial small subunit ribosomal RNA", at positions 29 to 507 of the family's 1533-position model. The record is from RNAcentral.
AACGAACGCUGGCGGCAUGCCUAACACAUGCAAGUCGAACGAGACCUUCGGGUCUAGUGGCGCACGGGUGCGUAACGCGGGGGAACCUGCCCUUAGGUCCGGAAUAACUCCCCGAAUGGGGUGCUAAUACCGGAUAAUGUCUUCGGACCAAAGAUUUAUCGCCUUUGGAUGGGCUCGCGUUGGAUUAGCUAGUUGGUAGGGUAAAAGCCUACCAAGGCGACGAUCCAUAGCUGGUCUGAGAGGAUGAUCAGCCACACUGGGACUGAGACACGGCCCAGACUACUACGGGAGGCAGCAGUGGGGAAUAUUGGACAAUGGGCGAAAGCAUGAUCCAGCAAGGCCGCGUGAGUGAUGAAGGCCUUAGGGUUGUAAAGCUCUUUUACCCGGGAUGAUAAUGACAGUACCGGGAGAAUAAGCUCCGGCUAACUCCGUG